AUGAAUUUGGACCCUGGCUGCCCUUUGCACAGGCCACCACUCAGGGUUGCAUCUGCAGUAAGAAACGUGGAGAAAGAGUGGUGGAUCACGCAUGCUCAGACGUCCUCUCCUGCCAUACAGUCCUCUGCACGUGCAGAGGGAAGCCCCUGCAAAUCAAUCAUGUCAGAUUUGGAGGAAAAGGAAUCUUUUAGUUUUGCAGAAGCUCCUUCCCCAAGGGGAAAGAGGACCAGACCGUUUUCAUUUCAGAUGCUGUAAUGGACUGAGUGCUUUGUUCCCCUUCAAUCAUAUGUUGAAGCCCUGACCCAACCCCCCAAUGCAAUGGUAUUUGAAGGAACUGCCAUCUCAUUCCUGUCCCUGGUUAGACAGAACUCAAGAGCCUUGGCAUUUGCUGCUGCUGUCCAAGCAACCUCCAGUCUUCAUGCAGAACAGAAGGCAAGACGUGCCAGCACUGGAAUUUCCAGCUGUGAGUGCACCCACCAUUGGUCCCUGUAAAGCACUGAUACUGACGCCAAGACUGAGAUGGACAUGUGUGAGUGUGGAUAGUAAAGUGAAUACCGAUAUGGACACUGAUUCCAGUGAGGCUCCCUGCUCCCGCUGGAUACUGCUAAAGCCGAGAGGCCUCAAGUAUCAACAGCUCCCAAGCUGUGGGUUCUGCUGCAGCCACUCACUCAGCCUCUGCCAGCUUUCCAUUCCUUGUCUUGGCAAGUGGAGCCAGUGCACCUGCUUGUCUUUCUCACCCAGCGAUGUUGAGGAAUCGAGGAGAUGCUGGAUAUGGACAAACUGGAAAGUGUCUCAGAAAAUGGUAGCUCUUACUCUUAUGGUUAUUGUUGUCCAUCAAGCAAGGGCUUCUAUUCAGGGGGCCUCUCCUUUGGGCUUGCACUGACCCUCCCGACUUCUCUUGGGUGGCAGUGCGGGCAAACUUCCACAUGUGUCCCACGGGGACGAGGGCUCACAAAACAGGAACUGAGCUAUAACUAGGGUACCCCAGGAAUUUCCCGAAUCUCUGUCAAGCACUGGCAGGUGUGGGCAUCUCAGAGCAGAGGGUGGAAAGGGUCCUUAGGGAACAGUGAUGGAAUGGAAGCCUGAAGGGAGAGCAGAGCUGGGGGUGACUCUGCGCAGCGGCUGGUGGCAGUCAGCGGGGCCAUCAGGCGUGAGGAGCUGGGCUUUGCUCCUGAGGAGGCAGUGCCUUGAGGUAUCGCUGGGGGCAGUGGAGGACCCUUGCACGUGGGCAGGGGAAGCCAGUGAAUGGACCGCAGAAGUAGCCACUCCUGUGUGGCACCUUGUCAGCCUGGCGCAGGGAUUGUUUGCCCAUGUGGGGGUGCCAGUGAGGAUGGAAAUUUGGGGAUGAGAGGUUCAAGGUGCCUUGUCUUGUUCCUCAGGGCUGUUACCUGACUGGCUGGCAAGGGUGAGGGGAAAUAGGUGGCGAGCAUCUCUUCCCUGAGCAUCUCUGAAUGAAGGGGUAGCCCCUUUGGGUUGGCCUCCAGGUGUGCCUAACUCAACGCCCAGGGUAAGCUUCCCUUACUUUGCAGGUAGGCUCUUAAAGGAGUAGUAUAUUUUCUCCUUUCAGCUGAAGUUGGAUAAAAAGCAAUUCUUCAGGUUUUUUUUUUUAAAUAGGCUUAUAAAAAAGAACUGCUUCUCUGCAAAUCUCUGUUAGAAAAAUCUUUUGAGCUUUAUUUGUCCAGGAGCCUGGUUGA
This is a long non-coding RNA of Phyllostomus hastatus (greater spear-nosed bat), 1694 nucleotides long. RefSeq lists it as uncharacterized. Lineage: Eukaryota; Metazoa; Chordata; Mammalia; Chiroptera; Phyllostomidae. The record is from RefSeq and is a predicted model, not a curated record. The transcript has 3 exons.